Molecule: ribosomal RNA, 253 nt
Filed under: uncultured bacterium
Lineage: Bacteria
Description: partial 16S ribosomal RNA
Rfam family: Bacterial small subunit ribosomal RNA
Source: RNAcentral
UACAGAGGGUGCAAGCGUUAAUCGGAAUUACUGGGCGUAAAGCGUGCGUAGACGGUUAUGUAAGUCGGAUGUGAAAGCCCCGGGCUCAACCUGGGAAUUGCAUUCGAGACUGCAUAGCUAGGAUGCGGAAGAGGGAAGUGGAAUUUCCGGUGUAGCGGUGAAAUGCGUAGAUAUCGGAAGGAACAUCAGUGGCGAAAGCGACUUCCUGGUCCAGCAUCGACGUUCAGGCACGAAAGCGUGGGGAGCAAACAGG